RNAcentral lists this ribosomal RNA (253 nucleotides) under uncultured bacterium. RNAcentral's name for it is "partial 16S ribosomal RNA". It matches the Rfam family "Bacterial small subunit ribosomal RNA", at positions 524 to 776 of the family's 1533-position model. The record is from RNAcentral.
UACGUAGGGUGCGAGCGUUAAUCGGAAUUACUGGGCGUAAAGCGUGCGCAGGCGGUCUAUUAAGACAGAUGUGAAAUCCCCGGGCUUAACCUGGGAACUGCAUUUGUGACUGGCAGGCUAGAGUAUGGCAGAGGGGGGUAGAAUUCCACGUGUAGCAGUGAAAUGCGUAGAGAUGUGGAGGAAUACCGAUGGCGAAGGCAGCCCCCUGGGAUAACACUGACGCUCAUGCACGAAAGCGUGGGGAGCAAACAGG